AGGUCUAUGGCUUAAGGGUAGAGUGUUGGUUUCCAAAACCACAGGUGAGGGUUCGAAUCCUUCUAGACCUG
Molecule: transfer RNA, 71 nt
Filed under: Mychonastes homosphaera
Lineage: Eukaryota; Viridiplantae; Chlorophyta; Chlorophyceae; Sphaeropleales; Mychonastaceae
Also listed under: 1 other name
Description: tRNA-Trp
Rfam family: tRNA
About the family: Transfer RNA (tRNA) molecules are approximately 80 nucleotides in length. Their secondary structure includes four short double-helical elements and three loops (D, anti-codon, and T loops). Further hydrogen bonds mediate the characteristic L-shaped molecular structure. tRNAs have two regions of fundamental functional importance: the anti-codon, which is responsible for specific mRNA codon recognition, and the 3' end, to which the tRNAs corresponding amino acid is attached (by aminoacyl-tRNA synthetases). tRNAs cope with the degeneracy of the genetic code in two manners: having more than one tRNA (with a specific anti-codon) for a particular amino acid; and 'wobble' base-pairing, i.e. permitting non-standard base-pairing at the 3rd anti-codon position.
Source: RNAcentral